Molecule: ribosomal RNA, 499 nt
Filed under: uncultured bacterium
Lineage: Bacteria
Description: bacterial SSU rRNA
Rfam family: Bacterial small subunit ribosomal RNA
Source: RNAcentral
GAUGAACGCUAGCGGGAGGCUUAACACAUGCAAGUCGAGGGGCAUCACGAGGUGGCAAUACUUUGGUGGCGACCGGCGCACGGGUGAGUAACACGUAUGCAACCUUCCCUGUACAGGGGGAUAACCCGGAGAAAUUCGGACUAAUACCCAUGAUGAUAUUUAUGGGCAUCCAUUGAUAUUUAAAGCUCUGGCGGUACAGGAUGGGCAUGCGCGACAUUAGCUAGUUGGUAAGGUAACGGCUUACCAAGGCUACGAUGUUUUAGGGGACCUGAGAGGGUUGUCCCCCACACUGGUACUGAGACACGGACCAGACUCCUACGGGAGGCAGCAGUGAGGAAUAUUGGUCAAUGGGCGCAAGCCUGAACCAGCCAUCCCGCGUGAAGGAAGAAUGCGCUACGCGUUGUAAACUUCUUUUCCUAGGGGGAGGAAUAAUCCUGUCGUGACAGGACUUGACGGUACUCUGGGAAUAAGCAUCGGCUAACUCCGUGCCAGCAGCCGC